CGCAUUAAGUGCCCCGCCUGGGGAGUACGAUCGCAAGAUUAAAACUCAAAGGAAUUGACGGGGCCCCGCACAAGCAGCGGAGCAUGCGGCUUAAUUCGACGCAACGCGAAGAACCUUACCAAGGCUUGACAUAUACAGGAAUAUGGCAGAGAUGUCAUAGCCGCAAGGUCUGUAUACAGGUGGUGCAUGGUUGUCGUCAGCUCGUGUCGUGAGAUGUUGGGUUAAGUCCCGCAACGAGCGCAACCCUCGUUCUGUGUUGCCAGCAUUUAGUUGGGGACUCACAGGAGACUGCCGGGGUUAACUCGGAGGAAGGUGGGGAUGGCGUCAAAUCGUCAUGCCCCUUAUGUCUUGGGCUGCACGCAUGCUACAAUGGCUGGUACAAACGGCUGCAAUACCGCAAGGUGGAGCGAAUCCGAGAAAGCCAGUCUCAGUUCGGAUUGGGGUCUGCAACUCGACCCCAUGAAGUCGGAGUUGCUAGUAAUCGUAGAUCAGCAACGCUACGGUGAAUACGUUCCCGGGGCUUGUACACACCGCCCGUCACGUCACGAAAGUCGGUAACACCCGAAGU
Molecule: ribosomal RNA, 568 nt
Filed under: uncultured Actinomycetes bacterium
Lineage: Bacteria; Bacillati; Actinomycetota; Actinomycetes
Description: bacterial SSU rRNA
Rfam family: Bacterial small subunit ribosomal RNA
Source: RNAcentral